Molecule: long non-coding RNA, 500 nt
Organism: Biomphalaria glabrata
Lineage: Eukaryota; Metazoa; Mollusca; Gastropoda; Planorbidae
Exons: 5
Source: RefSeq, a predicted model, not a curated record
GGUGGAGGAGAUCUUUUCACAAAAGACUAUAGGUUGCAUCUGUUCACAAAUUUGCAUACGUAAUUGGCCCCUUAUAAUAGCUUGUAAGAUUGCGCAGAUGUCAUACACGGCUAACAGUGUUCGCGUGUCAAAAAUUAGCUUGGCAAAGCUCACGCCUAAGUGCAGCUUCGUAAGAACCAAUUCCAAAUAGAGAAUGAAAUUCCCAGUGCUGAUGGUCCUACUGAUCGUUCUAGCCUGUAUAACUGAAACUGAAACUGUGCAAAGUAUCAUGCACCUUGCGAACGAAGAAAAGAAUGUUGUAACAAUCUUAAGUGCAAUUACGUAUUCACCCCUGCAAGAGGAAGAUGCACGCCAAAAUAAGAAUGGAUUCAUGGAUUUCUAGCAAGUAGCAGUCGUUAGUAGAGCUACAAAAAGUGCACAGGAUCCAAAGGCACUUUAAAUACAUCAACAAUUUAGACGCUUUCAAGUUAACAUGAAAUAAAGAAAAAUAACACACAGAA